RNAcentral lists this ribosomal RNA (378 nucleotides) under uncultured bacterium. RNAcentral's name for it is "bacterial SSU rRNA". It matches the Rfam family "Bacterial small subunit ribosomal RNA", at positions 28 to 407 of the family's 1533-position model. The record is from RNAcentral.
GAUGAACGCUAGCGGCAGGCCUAAUACAUGCAAGCCGGACGGCAAGUUGAGUAGCAAUACUUGACCUAGAGUGGCGUAAGGGUGCGUAACACGUAUGCAAUCUGCCCACAGCCGGGAGAUAGCCCUCCGAAAGGAGGAUUAAUAUCCCAUAGGAAGAUGAGAUGGCAUCAUUUUAUUUUUAAACUACGGGGCUGUGGAUGAGCAUGCGGUUGAUUAGCUAGUUGGCGGGUAAAGGCCCACCAAGGCGAUGAUCAAUAGGGGACCUGAGAGGGUGAUCCCCACACUGGCACUGAGAUACGGGCCAGACUCCUACGGGAGGCAGCAGUAGGGAAUAUUGGACAAUGGGUGUAAGCCUGAUCCAGCCAUGCCGCGUGCAGG